UACGAAGGGUGCAAACGUUGCUCGGAAUUACUGGGCGUAAAGCGCGUGUAGGCGGCUAUGUAAGUCGGGCGUGAAAUCCCACGGCUCAACCGUGGAAGUGCACCCGAAACUGCGUAGCUAGAGUCCUGGAGAGGAAGGUGGAAUGCUUGGUGUAGAGGUGAAAUUCGUAGAUAUCAAGCGGAACACCGGUGGCGAAGGCGGCCUUCUGGACAGUGACUGACGCUGAGACGCGAAAGCGUGGGGAGCAAACAGG
RNAcentral lists this ribosomal RNA (253 nucleotides) under uncultured bacterium. RNAcentral's name for it is "partial 16S ribosomal RNA". It matches the Rfam family "Bacterial small subunit ribosomal RNA", at positions 524 to 776 of the family's 1533-position model. The record is from RNAcentral.